Molecule: ribosomal RNA, 253 nt
Filed under: uncultured bacterium
Lineage: Bacteria
Description: partial 16S ribosomal RNA
Rfam family: Bacterial small subunit ribosomal RNA
Source: RNAcentral
UACGUAGGAGGCAAGCGUUGUCCGGAAUUACUGGGCGUAAAGCGCGUGUAGGUGGUGGGACAAGUCUGCUGUGAAAGCGCCUGGCUUAACCGGGCGAGGUCGGCGGAAACUGUCCGACCCGAGGACGGUAGAGGGGGGUGGAAUUCCCGGUGUAGUGGUGAAAUGCGUAGAGAUCGGGAGGAACACCUGUGGCGAAGGCGGCCCCCUGGGCCGGCCCUGGCACUGAGACGCGAAGGCGUGGGGAGCGAACGGG